CUUUACAACACAGAUUAGAAAGCAUUUAUCUGAGAAAAAACAAUGGCUCAUAAGAUUAUCAACCCUCAGAUGUAUUUUUUAUAAAAGCUAUGACUAUAAACUGAUUGGUUUAGUAACAAUUAGCCUCUAUCAAGUUAAUUUGUACUAAGAAAAAUUUUUCAUUAAAGUAGAAGGGCCCAAUAUUACAGUUGUAGAAGCUGAAUU
RNAcentral lists this long non-coding RNA (204 nucleotides) under Bos taurus (domestic cattle). RNAcentral describes it as "long non-coding RNA NONBTAT017320". The record is from RNAcentral. Lineage: Eukaryota; Metazoa; Chordata; Mammalia; Artiodactyla; Bovidae.